GGUUAAAAAGCUCGUAGUUGGAUCUCGGCAAGUAGAGGGCGGUAUGCUUCGUAGCAUUACUGCCCUAUUACUUGUAGUUUUGCCAGAGGUUCCUGGGUGCUCUUAAUCGAGUGUCUAGGGAUGCUGGCAGGUUUACUUUGAAAAAAUUAGAGUGCUCAAAGCAGGCUAUUACGCUUGAAUAUUCGUGCAUGGAAUAAUAGAAUAGGAAGUUGUUUCUAUUUUGUUGGUUUUCGGAAAUCGACUUAAUGAUUAAUAGGGACAGUCGGGGGCAUUUGUAUUCAAACGACAGAGGUGAAAUUCUUGGACCGUUUGAAGACAAACCACUGCGAAAGCAUUUGCCAAGAAUGUUUUCAUUAAUCAAGAACGAAAGUUAGAGGUUCGAAGGCGAUUAGAUACCGCCCUAGUUCUAACCAUAAACGAUGCCAGCUAGCGACCUGAGGACGUUUUUUUUGUAGACUCCUCAGGAAGCUUCCGGGAAACCAAAGCGUGUGGGUUCCGGGGGAAGUAUGGUUGCAAAGCUGAAACUUAAAGGAAUUGACGGAAGGGCACCACCAGGAGUGGAGCCUGCGGCUUAAUUUGACUCAACACGGGAAAUCUCACCAGGCCCGGACACUGGAAGGAUUGACAGAUUGAGAGCUCUUUCUCGAUUCGGU
This 653-nucleotide ribosomal RNA is filed under the name uncultured marine eukaryote. RNAcentral's name for it is "SSU rRNA". It matches the Rfam family "Eukaryotic small subunit ribosomal RNA", at positions 617 to 1271 of the family's 1831-position model. The record is from RNAcentral.